RNAcentral lists this ribosomal RNA (445 nucleotides) under uncultured bacterium. Its description in RNAcentral is "SSU rRNA". It matches the Rfam family "Bacterial small subunit ribosomal RNA", at positions 26 to 518 of the family's 1533-position model. The record is from RNAcentral.
AGAACGAACGCUGGCGGCAGGCCUCAAACAUGCAAGUCUAGGGGGCGUAGCAAUACGUCACCGGCGGACGGGUGCGUAACACGUGGGAAUGUACUUACUGGUUCGGAACAACUCAGGGAAACUUGAGCUAAUACCGAAUGUGCCCGAAAGGGGAAAGAUUUAUCGCCAGUAAAUCAGCCCGCGUCCGAUUAGCUAGUUGGCGGGGUAAAGGCCCACCAAGGCGACGAUCGGUAGCUGUUCUGAGAGGAAGAUCAGCCACACUGGGACUGAGACACGGCCCCAGACUCCUACGGGAGGCAGCAGUUGGGAAUCUUGGACAAUGGGGAAACCCUGAUCCAGCCAUGCCGCGUGAGUGAUGAGGCCUUCGGGUGUAAAACUCUUUCGACGGGGACGAUAAUGACGGUACCGUAGAAGAAGCUCCGGCUAACUUCGUGCCAGCAGCCGC